GGAGGCUAUGAAACCGGAACGCUAGUUUCGGUGGAGCCGUCCUUGAAAUACCACCCUGGUUUGUUUGAGGUUCUAACCUUGGCCCGUGAUCCGGGUCGGGGACAGUGCAUGGUAGGCAGUUUGACUGGGGCGGUCUCCUCCCAAAGCGUAACGGAGGAGUACGAAGGUACGCUAGGUACGGUCGGAAAUCGUGCUGAUAGUGCAAUGGCAUAAGCGUGCUUAACUGCGAGACCGACAAGUCGAGCAGGUGCGAAAGCAGGUCAUAGUGAUCCGGUGGUUCUGUAUGGAAGGGCCAUCGCUCAACGGAUAAAAGGUACUCUGGGGAUAACAGGCUGAUACCGCCCAAGAGUUCAUAUCGACGGCGGUGUUUGGCACCUCGAUGUCGGCUCAUCUCAUCCUGGGGCUGUAGCCGGUCCCAAGGGUAUGGCUGUUCGCCAUUUAAAGAGGUACGUGAGCUGGGUUUAAAACGUCGUGAGACAGUUUGGUCCCUAUCUGCCGUGGGCGUUGGAUAUUUGAAGGGGGCUGCUCCUAGUACGAGAGGACCGGAGUGGACGAACCUCUGGUGUACCGGUUGUCACGCCAGUGGCAUCGCCGGGUAGCUAUGUUCGGAAGAGAUAACCGCUGAAAGCAUCUAAGCGGGAAACUCGCCUUAAGAUGAGAUAUCCCUGGGGACUAGAUCCCCUUGAAGGGUCGUUCGAGACCAGGACGUUGAUAGGUCGGGUGUGUAAGCGCAGUAAUGCGUUCAGCUAACCGAUACUAAUUGCCCGUAAGGCUUGAUCCUAUAACA
Molecule: ribosomal RNA, 787 nt
Filed under: Burkholderia cenocepacia
Lineage: Bacteria; Pseudomonadati; Pseudomonadota; Betaproteobacteria; Burkholderiales; Burkholderiaceae
Description: bacterial LSU rRNA
Rfam family: Bacterial large subunit ribosomal RNA
Source: RNAcentral